GGAAAACCAGUUUCCAGUUCGUUGUAUUAUCUGGCAAUCCAGGAGAAACCGAUAAUCGGAACUCUGGAGGUUGGAGGUUUUGAAAUCAGACCGAAGGCCAAGCCGGACAAGAAGCAGAGUCCUAUCUUAGGACGAGAUUUCCUUGACAAAUAUAAACCAUGGUCUGGAAAUCAGGAAAUGGAGAUACCAUUGGACGCCAAGAGUGAUGAUCCAAUGACAAGUCCAUUUCGAUAUACAUCUCGUGGGAUGUUAUACGAAAAUACAAAGCAGAAUAUUUUGCUGCUUAUGUGGAUUCAGGAGCAGGAAUCUGACAGCAAAACGAGGAGUCUUUCCACAGAAGUGGAAGAAGAUCUACCUCGAAUUGCAGGAAGGGAUUUCUCCAAAAGAUUUUCUCUUAUCAAAAGAGUAAAACAGACGGAAAUAUUGAUCGGCGGAGCAGGACAGACACCUUGGUACAAGGUCAAAACUCCACCAAUUUAUUUCCAUGAUACCGGAGCAGAAUAUUAUUCGGAAUAAUUUUCUGCAAAGCUUCAAGAGGUACAUACAGACAAUGAAGCCAGGAGGCUAGUGUUCACAACCAAUUGUGACACAAAAUCAUUGUCAAAGGCUCAGGAGCUUCAUCGUCAUGCCAAUCAAUUCGCAGCAAGCGUGGUGAUGAUGGCAGACUCCGGGACCCCAAAUGAAGGAUCAAAGGAGAUUCGGGAAGUUUUGCUCAAAUGCAGAACUGAGGGAUUCCAAUCUCUCCGAGGAGAAAUCAAUCCUCAAAGUUCCUGAUAUCACAAAAGAUAUCAGGAAGAAGAACAGGUGUCCAUGCCGAACGUCAAAAGGAGAAUCCAGAAGUGUUACCACGAGGAUCCUUUGGCAUGGUGGGACAAGAACCAGCUCAGAGCAACCUUGAAAGUUAAAACUGGAAAGGAGCAUGAGUUCGUAAGGUCAACCUAUCCUGAUGAACCCUCAAGAUCAACAGGAUAUGAUGAGUAUAAUCAAGGAACACCUUGAUUUAAAGCUGAUCGAAGAAGGAAGAUCACCCUACAGCAGUCCUGGAUUUCUGGUGAGAAAUCAUGGGGAGAUCAAGCGAGGAAAACCAAGAUUGGUCAUUAAUUAUAAAGGGAUUAAUGACAUUCUUGAGUUUGACGGAUAUUUCAUCCCAAGCAGAGAACACCUCAUCAACUGCAUCAGAAGUGCAAGGGUAUUCUCAAAGUUCGAUUGCAAAUCAGGUUUCUACCAGAUUCGCAUGGAGGAAGGGAGUAAGAAGUUCACAGCCUUCUCAACUCCACAAGGACAUUAUGUCUGGAAUGUCAUGCCAAUGGGGUUAGCCAACGCGCCUCAGAUAUUCCAAAGGAAGAUGGAUAAUCUCUUCAAAGAUUAUUCUUCGUUUAUGUUUGUUUAUAUUGAUGACAUCCUUAUUGCAUCAAAAAACAUUCAUGAACAUGUCAAGCAUCUGGAGAUCUUUGCGGAUGUUUGCCAACAAGAAGGACUAGUGCUGUCAGAAAAGAAGGCAGUCAUAGCCACCCAGAAGAUGGAGUUUCUGGGAAUCGAGAUCGAUGAAUCUGGAAUCAUUCUACAAGAACAUAUUGUGGAGAAGGUCCAGAAUUUUCCAGAAGAUCUCAAAGAAAAGAAGCAGCUCCAAAGCUUUCUCGGAGUUGUUAACUUUGCAGGAAUGUUUAUCAAAAAUCUUGCAGAGUACCGGAAAGUCUUCAGUCCAUUACUGAAGAAAGAUGUUCCAUUCAUAUGGAAGGAGGAACAUCGGGAGGGUAUGAAGAAGUUAAAAGAGAUUUGUAAAAAUCUCCCAAAACUUUCAAUACCACAAGACGAGGAUGACCUGGUCCUCUAUACAGACGCGAGUGAUUUCUGGUGGGCAGCAGUACUCACAAAGAUCACCCCUUAUGGAGAAGAACCUUGCAGAUACUGUAGCGGUCUUUUCUCCGACGACGAAGCUGUGCGAUGGCACAUCAACGAGAAAGAAUUCUUUGCAGUGCGAAAGGCGUUUAAAAAAUGGCCGCUUUUCUUACUUGCUAAAAAAUUCGUUUUGAAAGUUGAUAACACUAACGUUAAAGCUUUCUUAACUAAAAAGAUUGAAUCUAAACCUGAAAAGGCUAGAUUGAUUAGAUGGCAAGCAGAAUGCCAAUAUUAUGAUUAUGAUAUUGUCAUUUUGAAAUCUGAUCAGAAUGUUCUUGCAGAUUUCCUUACAAGGGAUGGAGCUCCCUGAAGUGGAGGCCAUCGAGGCAAUACAGGCGCAGCUCUUCGAGAGUCUAGAGCUGCUACAACAAGAAUGGCAGAAGUGUGUUCUACACACUAAACAAGCAGGAAAGAUACAAGCGGCUGAUGAAGCCAAAGUAUCUAGCCAAAUCGAUGUCUGUUUCAUGAAGAUGUUCAAUCUUCAGGAAGCAACUGAAAAGCCGCUCUUGCGCGCAGUCCGUGAAAAUCGGGCUAAAGCAAUGCUUUCCGUACAGGGCGGAUUACCUGUAGCAGGGGAUUCAAGUACCCCUAGCCCAAGUCCUGAGAGAAUGGCUUCACAGCCGGACGCUCGAGGAAAAGAUGUUGUUAAGGGGUCACUCCCUGAAUCAACAUGUCAACCCUCCACCUCUGGGGUAAAAGAGGGAGAGAUCAGCCUUAGGCCCAUGACAGGCCAAGUUAAGGUUGAUACUAAUCUUAUUGUUUCUUCUCCUUCUUGGCAGAUGUAUCAAGACAGGUGGGAGAAACUUCUCACAAGAAGGGGCAUUAAUCCGGGAAAUUGCCGGGUUGAUGUUGCAGGAAAAUAUCCAAGGGUUUGGUUCACUCCAGGAGCCAAUCCAAACGAUGUUAAGGAAUGGUAUGAAUUUGGGGCAUUAGCUUCAGUUUAUACCACUUCUCCGGCCUUCACCGAAAUCAAGGGUCUACCUAAAUGGAUCCAGAAAACGGUGUUCGACGCAUGGGAGAACAACGAGUCCCUCAAAAGGGGAGAUGUUCUGGAAUUGUACUUCUUCAGUGCAGCUCCAGAGCCAGUGGGCAAAGGAAUCUACGAAGCCUUCCAUUUCAUCAAGCUUCGGAGACCAGAUACAGGAGCCUUGAACCGGAUCAAAGUUCCUGAGUUUAAUGCCGCCAUCGUCUCAACAUUCACGGAGGAACAAAUCUCCACGAGACGAGCAUGGGGUCUUUGGGUCUGUCUCACAGAGAUGGACAAAAUGAAGUCCAGAUUCAAGUUCUUUCAGAGCUCAGAUCUGGGAACGUUCCUGGUCAACACCAUGACAGGAACCACAACCCAGUUUGCCGAAAACUCUUUCGAGAACAAGAGGCAAACAAUUUGGGGAAACAAGAUAGCGGGGAGCAAAGAGACUCGUCGCAAAUUCUGCAAUAUGGCUCAUGUGAGCCAUUGGAUCGAGAGGAUCUGCGACCAAUGCUCGUCGCAGAAAGAGCCAGAAUUCGGUAAAGGUUUCCUCCCGAAACCUGACAGAAGGAGGUUCCGGUCUGAUGAACAUGACGAGCGUCAGACUCCAAAGGGAAGAACUCCUCGGGCACCAAAAAAGUAAGGUGGCCGACAAAACAAAGUGAAUCAUGUGAUUCACAGCAAGGAUCGCACCCACAAAAGAAACGACAAAAGUGGGUGGAAGAACAGGAGGACCACUCAAAGCUCCAACAAAAUGAGUGGAAGGAAAAGAGCCGGCCCCUACCAGCAUUAUCACAAGAGAUAGCAGGGCCAGCACCAUGUGAUCCACCAACAGUGUCGGCAAUCAAGGCCGACAAAAGAAGGUGGAGUCAUUUCAACAAGCGGCCACGAGGAGGAAUCCAGGCCACAACCAGAAUAUAGAGGGGUCAAACCUCUAUAUAAACCAAGUGCUGGAGAGAAGAAGAUCAUCCGAAAAUUUCACAACAUUUUCACACACCACUUCCUCUCUCUAGAAAUUAUCGUUUGUAAUUUUUUUAAAUUCUUGUUUUCAAAGUUUUUCCGUUUUAGUUUUAGUUCUUUUUAUUUUUAUGUACACAAGUAUUAGCUACUAUGGUAGCUAAAACAAGUUAGUCUCCUCCUUGGGGUAUUUUAUGAAAUAAAUUAAAUUUUAUAUAAUUCCUCUAUAAACACUUUGUUUUUGUCCAACUAUUCCGGGUUGAGUAAAAAUAUUUUCUUUAUUUUUCCAACAAUAUUUAGUCGGCACUUAGUGAAGGAGAAGGGUUGCAACCAUCCUUGCGAUGUGUGGUUGGUGCGUGCCGGGGAGGCAGACGAGCCGUAAAAGCAACAAGACCGACUCCUGAAGAAGACCAGUCACAAAGGUAUAAUGUUGGUUAAAUUUAAGAAUUAUUUUGAAGUGUUACGGAAGCAUGUUGGGCCUGAUUAAAUGUUAGACUGUUAAGAUCAAAAUGAUUUGCUAAUGACUUGAUGGUAUAUGCUGGAAUUUCCUCGUGCCCGAUAGAUUACUUUGUGAUCUGGGUCUGGACUGUGAGACAACGCCACGUACCUUUGAGCAAAAACAGUUUAAUAAAAUUUGGUUUGCAUGUAUUAAUUAAGCAUGAUUGUAGACGAAGGGUUGUUUGGUCAUUUGAUUGGCUUUUGGUUACUAAAGUCUUACUUUAAACCUUGUGGCUAUAUAAGUCUCUAACUAUGUGAGUUUGGCUAAAUGUGUCUUUUCCUCUUAAUUUAAUAUCAACUAUAUAACAUUGACGAUCUAUUUCAUAAUGUCUUUGUCGAAACUUAUUGAUGUGAUAUUUCAACAUUAUGAAAGUUCAUUGCUUCAAGUAUUUUUAUUUUCCCUUAAUACUUAUUUUGGCUAGUAUAAUAAAUUGGUUUUUUGCACUACUCAUAUUUCAAUACAUGCAUUCUUAUAGAUUCUCUCUAAAUCUUUUAGAAUAAUAAUCAAUAAAGUUUUAGAUAAAGUCAACCAAAAACUUGGAGACUAAACUAGACUUUCCCAUUCAAAUUACGUGGAUUUUAUUCUAUGUUUCAAAUUUCUUAAGAUAUUUUUGGAAAUUGCUACACUUGUUGAAGAAAAAUAUUUAGAAAAAAAAACCCUUUAAAAUAUACCAACAUUUGGUGAAGUGCAAAACUCAAAUGAUUAAUGUGAAAAUGCCUUGGAUAAAGUUAGUAAUUCGACAUUCACUAAUAUUUUAAUUUUUUAAAGAGGCGUGCAAAUAGUUCAAAAUUUACAGUUAAAAANCACAAGACGAUAAGGCGAGGGUCCAGCACCAUGUGAUGCCACCAACCAGUGUCGGCAAUCAAGGCCGACAAAAGAAGGUGGAUGUCAUACUCAAGCAAGCUGGCCACAAAGAUGGAAUCCGAGGCCACCAACCGAGCAAUAAUAGAGGGGCUCAAACCUCUAUAUAAACACAAGAGCUGGAGAGAAGAAGAUCAUCAGAAAAAUCCACAACAUUUUCACAGACCACUUCCUCUCUCUAGAAAAUUAUAUUUGUAAUUUUUAAUUUUUAGUUUUCAAAGUUUUUCGUUUAAGUUUUGUUUCUUUUUAUUUUUAUGUACACAAGGAUUAGCUACUAUGAGUAGCUAAACAAGUUGUCUCCUCCCUUGGGGAAGAUUUUUAUGAAAUAAAUUAAUUAUUAUAUAAUUCCUCUAUAAACGCUUAGUUUUUGUCCAACUAUUCCGGGUUGAGUAAAAAUAUUUUCUUUAUUUUCCAACAAAGUAUUGAGUCGGCACUUAGUGAAGGAGAAGGGUUGCAACCAUCACUUGCGAGUGCGUGGUUGGUGCGUGCCGGGGAGGCAGACGAGCCGUAAAACGCAACAAGACUGACUCCUGAAGAAGACCAGUCGACAAAGGUAUAAUGUUGGUUUAAUUAAGAUUUAUUUUGAAGUGUUACGGAAGCAUGUUGGGCCUGAUAAUUUGUUUUUAGACAUUAUAAUUUUUAGAAUACUCAUAAGGAUUUUAUUGUACUGAAAGUAAAACAUUUUGGGGUUUUGUGAUAUUUUGGUUAACAAUUGGGGAUAGAAUUCUUAUUAAAGAGAAGCUGGCGUGUCAAAAAUGGACAGAAUGCUAAGUUCAUGUAUUUUAUUGGAUUUUCCUAAGUUGAUGUUAAAAAUGGAAUUUCUCCAUAGUUGGUGUAUUUACACGCAAAUUUCCCUAAAAAUAAACACUAUCUUUAUUCAUAUCAAUAAUUAUUUUUUCUUAUCAAUUCAAUUGAUUAAGAAUAACCGUAUCACAUGCUAAGAAAUUACAAUGAUGAUGAAAGCCAGAAUAGAGGCACAGCUAAUUAACACUGUCAUCCUUCAAUCCUUACAAAUACUAAAGCUUUAAUAGGUUUGUCAUAUGAAAUUGAACCAGAAAGAUCAUGAAAAGGCAAAAGAACAAACAAGAUAAGGAAAAAUGAGGUAAGACAUGAGAAGGCAAAAGAACAAACAAGGCGCAAUGGCAAAGAGCUAAAUCACAUACAUACAUAUACAUAUAAAAAACAUACGUGAUCCCAAUGAGCCAAAUCAUUUAGUAUCUAUAUACACUUUGUCAUGUAACAUUUAUUGAUACACCACAACUAAAGAACAAAUUGUGUUUGUACAAAUGAAAAUACAAAAUCUGGAUACACAUUGAUUAAUGAAACGAAUGAACAAUAGGAGAAUGGGGUUCGAGUUUGACAUUAGAUGUUGGGUUCUUGGGGGUGAGUCGACGGCGGCGACUGCCUUUGAUUCACAGAGAGGGAGAUGGGGCUCUGGGUGUGCGGUGGCUGGUUUCCCUGGCCGCAAUUGGGAGAAGGGGGGCGGUCAAUGAUUUGGGGCUGGGGCUCAGAGUUUUAGAAUCAGAGGGAGAAGAGAGUUGAGAGGUGUCGGGCGUUCGACGGCUUGUUGCUGGUGCACGCCGGAGUUCAGAGACCGAGGGGGAAGGGUGAGAGUAACCGGCAACAGUCGUGUUGUCGGAGAAGAGGGAGAGAGGCAGGGGGUGCUGCGCCGCCGUCUGUGUUUCGGUGUAGGUGUGUGUCCUGGAGUGAGAGAAAGAUGUGGGAUGACGGCGGUGGUCGGGGCGGCGACUGCUACUGCCGGUGCGGAGAAGAGAGGCGGCGCUUUCUAUGCGGCCUUGUGUGAAGAUUAGAGAGAGGAGAGUGAGGGAGAUAAAAGAGAGGGGAAAAAUUAGCUGGAUAUUAGAGUGGGAAGGGGUACGGGUCGCGGAUCUAGACGCGGGUCGGGUCGGGUCGGGUCAAACCCGUCUCAUAGGGUGAGGUUAACC
Molecule: long non-coding RNA, 7129 nt
Filed under: Salvia miltiorrhiza (redroot sage)
Lineage: Eukaryota; Viridiplantae; Streptophyta; Magnoliopsida; Lamiales; Lamiaceae
Description: long non-coding RNA (SMIL_LNC006630)
Source: RNAcentral